GCUUAGGGGGAAGCUUAAAAUGCAGUCGAACGGGCUUUGGGGCUUGCUCCAAAGUUAGUGGCGAACGGGUGAGUAACAUAUCGGAACAUGUCCGGAAGUGGGGGAUAACGUAGCGAAAGUUACGCUAAUACCGCAUAUGCCCCGAGGGGGAAAGGGGGGGAUCGCAAGACCUCUCGCUUUCGGAGUGGCCGAUAUCGGAUCAGCUAGAUGGUGAGGUAAAGGCUCACCAUGGCGACGAUCCGUAGCUGGUCUGAGAGGACGACCAGCCACACUGGAACUGAGACACGGUCCAGACUCCUACGGGAGGCAGCAGUGGGGAAUUUUGGACAAUGGGCGCAAGCCUGAUCCAGCCAUACCGCGUGAGUGAAGAAGGCCUUCGGGUUGUAAAGCUCUUUCAGCCGGAAAGAAAUCGUGCAGGUUAAUAACCUGUAUGGAUGACGGUACCGGAAGAAGAAGCACCGGCUAACUACGUGCCAGCAGCCGCGGUAAUACGUAGGGUGCGAGCGUUAAUCGGAAUUACUGGGCGUAAAGCGUGCGCAGGCGGUUUUGUAAGACAGACGUGAAAUCCCCGGGCUUAACCUGGGAACUGCGUUUGUGACUGCAAGGCUAGAGUGCGGCAGAGGGGGGUAGAAUUCCACGUGUAGCAGUGAAAUGCGUAGAUAUGUGGAGGAAUACCGAUGGCGAAGGCAGCCCCCUGGGUCGACACUGACGCUCAUGCACGAAAGCGUGGGGAGCAAACAGGAUUAGAUACCCUGGUAGUCCACGCCCUAAACGAUGUCAACUAGGUGUUGGGGAAGGAGACUUCUUUAGUACCGCAGCUAACGCGAUAAGUUGACCGCCUGGGGAGUACGGUCGCAAGAUUAAAACUCAAAGGAAUUGACGG
This 883-nucleotide ribosomal RNA is filed under the name uncultured beta proteobacterium. Its description in RNAcentral is "bacterial SSU rRNA". It matches the Rfam family "Bacterial small subunit ribosomal RNA", at positions 35 to 916 of the family's 1533-position model. The record is from RNAcentral. Lineage: Bacteria; Pseudomonadati; Pseudomonadota; Betaproteobacteria.